Molecule: RNase P RNA, 479 nt
Filed under: Verrucomicrobiota bacterium
Lineage: Bacteria; Pseudomonadati; Verrucomicrobiota
Description: Verrucomicrobia bacterium (activated sludge metagenome) RNase P RNA component class A
Rfam family: Bacterial RNase P class A
About the family: Ribonuclease P (RNase P) is a ubiquitous endoribonuclease, found in archaea, bacteria and eukarya as well as chloroplasts and mitochondria. Its best characterised activity is the generation of mature 5'-ends of tRNAs by cleaving the 5'-leader elements of precursor-tRNAs. Cellular RNase Ps are ribonucleoproteins.
Source: RNAcentral
UUUUGGGGCCAGAUCGUCGCUCCUAGUUCUUUGAUCCCAAGGCGUGGGUAAUGCCACGCCCGUUGUAACUUCGAGAGGAAAGUCCGGACACCACCGGGCAGGAUUCCCGGCGAGAAACGCUGUCGCGCUGUGUCGGCCGGUCGCAAGACCACCGCGCAAGCACGCUUCUGCUCAAGCCGGGGCACUACGGGCCAUAUCCCGUGGUGACGGAUAGUGUCACAGAAAAUAUACCGCCUGGCGGGCAACCGUCAGGUCAGGGUGAAAAGGUGGGGUAAGAGCCCACCGCGUUCGUCGCGAGACGGGCGGCACGAAAAACCCAAUCCGGUGCAAGGCAAAAUAGGCAGCUGGGCGGCCCGUCCUACAGCUGCGGGUAUGCCGCAUUUCGCUUCGGCGAAAAGGUCGCGCAAGCGACCUAGAGAAAUGACGAUCACGCGCCGCAAGGCGCCACACAGAAUCCGGCUUAUCGGCCCCAAAACCAA